GACGAACGCUGGCGGCGUGCCUAAUACAUGCAAGUUGAGCGCUGAAGGUUGGUACUUGUACCAACUGGAUGAGCAGCGAACGGGUGAGUAACGCGUGGGGAAUCUGCCUUUGAGCGGGGGACAACAUUUGGAAACGAAUGCUAAUACCGCAUAAAAACUUUAAACACAAGUUUUAAGUUUGAAAGAUGCAAUUGCAUCACUCAAAGAUGAUCCCGCGUUGUAUUAGCUAGUUGGUGAGGUAAAGGCUCACCAAGGCGAUGAUACAUAGCCGACCUGAGAGGGUGAUCGGCCACAUUGGGACUGAGACACGGCCCAAACUCCUACGGGAGGCAGCAGUAGGGAAUCUUCGGCAAUGGACGAAAGGCUGACCGAGCAACGCCGCGUGAGUGAAGAAGGGUUUCGGAUCGGAAAACUCUGUUGGUAGAGAAGAACGUUGGUGAGAGUGGAAAGCUCAUCAAGUGACGGUAACUACCCAGAAAGGGACGGCUAACUACGUG
RNAcentral lists this ribosomal RNA (497 nucleotides) under uncultured bacterium. Its description in RNAcentral is "partial 16S ribosomal RNA". It matches the Rfam family "Bacterial small subunit ribosomal RNA", at positions 28 to 507 of the family's 1533-position model. The record is from RNAcentral.